GGAUGCGAUCAUACCAGCACUAAAGCACCGGAUCCCAUCAGAACUCCGAAGUUAAGCGUGCUUGGGCGAGAGUAGUACUAGGGUAGGUGACCUCCUGGGAAGUCCUCGUGUUGCAUUCC
RNAcentral lists this ribosomal RNA (119 nucleotides) under Aegilops speltoides var. ligustica. The record is from RNAcentral. Lineage: Eukaryota; Viridiplantae; Streptophyta; Magnoliopsida; Poales; Poaceae.